Molecule: ribosomal RNA, 352 nt
Filed under: marine bacterium SIMO-IS202
Lineage: Bacteria; Pseudomonadati; Pseudomonadota; Alphaproteobacteria
Description: bacterial SSU rRNA
Rfam family: Bacterial small subunit ribosomal RNA
Source: RNAcentral
GUGGCGCACGGGUGAGUAACGCGUGGGGACCUACCUCUUAGUGGGGGAUAACGGUUGGAAACGACCGCUAAUACCGCAUACGCCCUUCGGGGGAAAGAUUUAUCGCUAAGAGAUGGACCCGCGUUGGAUUAGAUAGUUGGUGAGGUAACGGCUCACCAAGUCAGCGAUCCAUAGCUGGUUUGAGAGGAUGAUCAGCCACACUGGGACUGAGACACGGCCCAGACUCCUACGGGAGGCAGCACUGGGGAAUAUUGGACAAUGGGGGCAACCCUGAUCCAGCCAUGCCGCGUGAGUGAAGAAGGCCUUCGGGUUGUAAAGCUCUUUCAGAUGCGAAGAUGAUGACGGUAACAUC